RNAcentral lists this ribosomal RNA (356 nucleotides) under Heterosigma akashiwo. RNAcentral's name for it is "partial Bacterial large subunit ribosomal RNA". It matches the Rfam family "Bacterial large subunit ribosomal RNA", at positions 181 to 587 of the family's 2925-position model. Lineage: Eukaryota; Raphidophyceae; Chattonellales; Chattonellaceae. The record is from RNAcentral.
AACCGGGGGAACUGAAACAUCUAAGUACCCGAAGGAAAGGACAUCAACCGAGACUCCGUCAGUAGCGGCGAGCGAACGCGGACCAGGCCAGUGGCGAUUGGGAGACAAGCGGAACAUUCUGGAAAGGAUGGCCAUAGUGGGUGACAGCCCCGUACGCGUAAUGCAACCAAUCGUCCUCGAGUAAGGCGGGACACGUGAAAUCCUGUCUGAACAUGGGGGGACCACCCUCCAAGCCUAAGUACUCCUCAGCGACCGAUAGCGAACCAGUACCGUGAGGGAAAGGUGAAAAGCACCCCGACAAGGGGAGUGAAAUAGAACCUGAAACCGGAUGCCUACAAACAGUUGAAGCCCAAGGU